GUUGAACGCUGACAGAAGGCUUAACACAUCAGCAAGUGAUUGGUGGCGGACGGGUGAGUAACGCGUAAAGAACUUGCCUCGCAGCUAAGGACAACAUUUGGAAAAGAAUGAUACUACCACAUACUGUGAGAGAGCUUUGCGUCCCAUGAGAUAGUUGGAGCGGUAACGGCUCACCAAGUCGAUGAUGGGUAGCCGGCCUGAGAGGGUGAUCGGCCCAAAGGUGACUGUGACACGGCCGUUACGCCUACGGGAUGCAUCAUUGGGUGAUAUUUGACAAUGGGCCAAAGUCUGAGCCAUCAAUUCUUUGUGCACUAUGAAUUUUUCAGAAGGUAAAGUGCAUUCUGAUGGGAAGCGUUCCCAUCAGUAGAAGUGACGGCUAAAUACGUGCCAGCCGCCGCGGUAAUAC
Molecule: ribosomal RNA, 406 nt
Filed under: uncultured bacterium
Lineage: Bacteria
Description: partial 16S ribosomal RNA
Rfam family: Bacterial small subunit ribosomal RNA
Source: RNAcentral